RNAcentral lists this unclassified non-coding RNA (182 nucleotides) under uncultured fungus. Its description in RNAcentral is "sequence contains ITS1". The record is from RNAcentral. Lineage: Eukaryota; Fungi.
GUAUUUUGAAUUAAGUAUUCAUAAUAUUUUUCAGACAAAUUAGUUAAAGAAUGAGUUGAUGUAUAAAAACCUCGCCAAGAUUGACGAGAUCUAACAUUGCACACAAGGUGGAUAUGGAUUUUUAAAAAGUGCCAUAAAACACUUUAUUAUGAAUGAUCCUUCCGCAGGUUCACCUACGGAAA